UGUAUGUUAAGUUAAUUGGUCCCAACAGCACCUUUAUAAUAUAUGCAUGUUGAAAUUAGUGCAGCCUUCUUGGUUUCACAUAUAUGUUUUGGGAGACCAUGCCAUCUCCCUGGAUUUUCCACUUCUCCUUGUCACAGGUGCCUCAUUCCAGGGUCCUAUUUAGCCUUGCAAUCCACACAGCUCCACCAAGAUUGAUUCCCAAGUAAGUGGGAACACUUUACACAUUACUAUUCAUACAGA
This is a non-coding RNA of Pelobates cultripes (western spadefoot toad), 240 nucleotides long. The record is from the annotation of a GenBank genome assembly. Lineage: Eukaryota; Metazoa; Chordata; Amphibia; Anura; Pelobatidae.